GUGGCCUACGGGGGGCAGCAGUGGGGAAUAUUGCACAAUGGGGGAAACCCUGAUGCAGCGACGCCGCGUGAGUGAAGAAGUAUCUCGGUACGUAAAGCUCUAUCAGCAGGGAAGAAAAUGACGGUACCUGACUAAGAAGCCCCGGCUAACUACGUGCCAGCAGCCGCGGUAAUACGUAGGGGGCAAGCGUUAUCCGGAUUUACUGGGUGUAAAGGGAGCGUAGACGGCAGAGCAAGUCUGGAGUGAAAUGACGGGGACCAACCCCG
This 266-nucleotide ribosomal RNA is filed under the name uncultured bacterium. Its description in RNAcentral is "partial 16S ribosomal RNA". It matches the Rfam family "Bacterial small subunit ribosomal RNA", at positions 334 to 617 of the family's 1533-position model. The record is from RNAcentral.